CUGAUUUAUAUUUCCUCCCAAGAAGUAAAUUUAAUCUAUCAUGUUCUUUCCUACUCUUUUAUGCUUGACCUCCCUACUGCACCAAGACAUGGGCCAUAUGUAUAAAAAAUAAGCAUUUAGCUAGGAAUCCAUCUCAUUUCUUAGCUCAACUGGUUGGCAUCCAUCUCGAUCUCGAAGAGAUCCAAGGCUCAAACCUCGGCGGUGGUGCUGCCAUCAUAUUUUUCUUAAAAAAAACAAAA
Non-coding RNA from Phoenix dactylifera (date palm), 239 nucleotides. The record is from RefSeq and is a predicted model, not a curated record. Lineage: Eukaryota; Viridiplantae; Streptophyta; Magnoliopsida; Arecales; Arecaceae.